GCAGGGACCCCUGGCCGCCUUUCGCCCCAGGCGGGCUGGGGCUGGCUACGGUUGUCUCCUGCACACGGCCAGCUUCUGGGACAGACCCGGCUGUGGGCUUAAACAAUCGUAGUAGUUAAUUAGAACCGGUUCCUCUUUCUUGAAUACCUUUAACAUUUAUCGCCUUGUUUAGUUUCCACAUCCACCUCCGUGAAAGAAUCCGGAAGUCAUCUGAGUUGGCUGUCUGCCCUUUUUCUCUGUACCAGUGAACUUGACCUGUGGCUGUGGCCUGGAUUUGGCAUUUAAACACGACUAACUGACUCCUGGUUGUAGAGAUGUCUUGAAGAUAGUAAAGAACAAACACAAAGUUCAUAGAAUGGAAAAGAUGGUUACCCCAAAUACAAUGAUUUUUGAGAUGCCAAUUGCAGUAGUCUCUCUCUGUCGCCCCAGCUGGAGUG
Molecule: long non-coding RNA, 437 nt
Organism: Lemur catta (Ring-tailed lemur)
Lineage: Eukaryota; Metazoa; Chordata; Mammalia; Primates; Lemuridae
Exons: 3
Source: RefSeq, a predicted model, not a curated record